AACAUGCUUCCUUAGAUCCACCUUUGUGGAUGACUCUUGAUUGAGUUCUACUUGUAAAUUUCUUGUUUCUUGUAGUUCCAAUCAAAGAAUCAUCCAGCAACUUUUUCGGUUGUAUAGUCAAAGGUGCUUGAGUCAUUGGCAUGUGAGAUGAAUCCACCUGCAUAUUAGUCUCAGGUUCUGAUAGAAAUGACAGGCAGUGAUGCUGUCAUUGUUUGCUGUCAGGACUUGACUGGUGUGCGGACAGU
This 245-nucleotide small nucleolar RNA is filed under the name Jaculus jaculus (lesser Egyptian jerboa). RNAcentral's name for it is "Small nucleolar RNA SNORA53 (ENSJJAG00000000864.1)". It matches the Rfam family "Small nucleolar RNA SNORA53". From Rfam's summary of the family: The snoRNA ACA53 belongs to the H/ACA family of pseudouridylation guide snoRNAs. The record is from Rfam by way of RNAcentral. Lineage: Eukaryota; Metazoa; Chordata; Mammalia; Rodentia; Dipodidae.